GAUGAACGCUGACAGAAUGCUUAACACAUGCCAGUCCACUUGAAUUUGGGUUUUUACCUUAGGUUUGGGUGGCGGACGGGUGAGUAACGCGUAAAGAACUUGCCUCACAGCUAGGGACAACAUUUGGAAACGAAUGCUAAUACCUAAUAUUAUGAUAAUAGGGCAUCCUAUAAUUAUGAAAGCUAUAAGCGCUGUGAGAGAGCUUUGCGUCCCAUUAGCUAGUUGGAGAGGUAACGGCUCACCAAGGCGAUGAUGGGUAGCCGGCCUGAGAGGGUGAUCGGCCACAAGGGGACUGAGACACGGCCCUUACUCCUACGGGAGGCAGCAGUGGGGAAUAUUGGACAAUGGACCGAGAGUCUGAUCCAGCAAUUCUGUGUGCACGAUGAAGUUUUUCGGAAUGUAAAGUGCUUUCAGUUGGGAAGAAACAAAUGACGGUACCAACAGAAGAAGUGACGGCUAAAUACGU
This 466-nucleotide ribosomal RNA is filed under the name uncultured bacterium. Its description in RNAcentral is "partial 16S ribosomal RNA". It matches the Rfam family "Bacterial small subunit ribosomal RNA", at positions 28 to 506 of the family's 1533-position model. The record is from RNAcentral.